UCAACAUAGUGCCCUGCUCGUGCCCAAUUACACUUCCUAAAUUGGUUUUGUUUGAGAAACUUUUGAAAAGAAUUAGGCUCAAAAGGGAGAAGAAAGAUGAUCUCUAAGGAUGGAACCCGUAAAGGACAGGGACUGAAAACACCAGAAUUGCGAAUGUAAAGGAGACCAGUCACGCCAGCCUGCCUUGGAGCCAGCUGAAUAUGGGCUGAAACCUCCAAAAACUCACCAUGGUGAUUAACACCCUCUCUGCACCUCUGGGGACCACCUGGCUCUGCAGGAACAAACGUCACACAGUGAUUUGAAAGAAUUCACAGUUCUGCUCUCGGAGCCUUCUUCUCUGGGCUCUCUGAGCUCCGGGACAAGCUCAGGGUGUUUGUGCAGCUGUCGCAGUGCCCGUGAGAAUGGCCUGUCAUACCUGUGGACUGCCCCUUCUGACCUCCAGGUGGACAUCUGUACUCAGGUUCACAUCGCCCUCCCAUAUCUGGCUCAGAGAACAUUCACGCUUUUCUUGUGAAAAGAUAGCAGCGUUAAUGUUUGCAAAGGUGCUAUUUUAAACAAGAAAACUUAAAAACAGAUGGACUGUGGUUUCCAGACAUCACAUCUCCAAGAACAUGAUAGAAACCAGAAGUCAACACAUCCAAGUCUCUGGGACAAGAGUUGACAUUUCUGAAAUUGGAGAGGCUCUCACUGAAGAUGGAAGCCCCAUCUCUGCCAACUGGGCAGGAGCCAUAGCUUCCUGCUAGAAGUGCGACCUCUCCUGCCACUAUUGUCACUCCAGCCAGAGGACGUGGGAUGGGCUGACUAAGCCUCACAUGCUGUCUACUGCACAGAAGAUGCUGACCUGCUGUCUG
Cavia porcellus (domestic guinea pig) is the source of this 851-nucleotide long non-coding RNA. RefSeq lists it as uncharacterized. The transcript has 4 exons. The record is from RefSeq and is a predicted model, not a curated record. NCBI's taxonomy places the organism in Eukaryota, Metazoa, Chordata, Mammalia, Rodentia, Caviidae.